This 1343-nucleotide ribosomal RNA is filed under the name uncultured bacterium. RNAcentral describes it as "16S ribosomal RNA". It matches the Rfam family "Bacterial small subunit ribosomal RNA", at positions 28 to 1378 of the family's 1533-position model. The record is from RNAcentral.
GACGAACGCUGGCGGCGUGCUUAACACAUGCAAGUCGAACGGAAAGGCCCUGCUUUUGUGGGGUGCUCGAGUGGCGAACGAGUGAGUAACACGUGAGUAACCUGCCCUUGACUUUGGGAUAACUUCAGGAAACUGGGGCUAAUACCGGAUAGGAGCUCCUGCUGCAUGGUGGGGGUUGGAAAGUUUCGGCGGUUGGGGAUGGACUCGCGGCUUAUCAGCUUGUUGGUGGGGUAGUGGCUUACCAAGGCUUUGACGGGUAGCCGGCCUGAGAGGGUGACCGGCCACAUUGGGACUGAGAUACGGCCCAGACUCCUACGGGAGGCAGCAGUGGGGAAUAUUGCACAAUGGGCGGAAGCCUGAUGCAGCAACGCCGCGUGCGGGAUGACGGCCUUCGGGUUGUAAACCGCUUUCGCCUGUGACGAAGCGUGAGUGACGGUAAUGGGUAAAGAAGCACCGGCUAACUACGUGCCAGCAGCCGCGGUGAUACGUAGGGUGCGAGCGUUGUCCGGAUUUAUUGGGCGUAAAGGGCUCGUAGGUGGUUGAUCGCGUCGGAAGUGUAAUCUUGGGGCUUAACCCUGAGCGUGCUUUCGAUACGGGUUGACUUGAGGAAGGUAGGGGAGAAUGGAAUUCCUGGUGGAGCGGUGGAAUGCGCAGAUAUCAGGAGGAACACCAGUGGCGAAGGCGGUUCUCUGGGCCUUUCCUGACGCUGAGGAGCGAAAGCGUGGGGAGCGAACAGGCUUAGAUACCCUGGUAGUCCACGCUGUAAACGGUGGGUACCAGGUGUGGGGUCCAUUCCACGGGUUCCGUGCCGUAGCUAACGCUUUAAGUACCCCGCCUGGGGAGUACGGCCGCAAGGCUAAAACUCAAAGGAAUUGACGGGGCCCCGCACAAGCGGCGGAGCAUGCGGAUUAAUUCGAUGCAACGCGUAGAACCUUACCUGGGUUUGACAUGGAUCGGGAGUGCUCAGAGAUGGGUGUGCCUCUUUUGGGGUCGGUUCACAGGUGGUGCAUGGCUGUCGUCAGCUCGUGUCGUGAGAUGUUGGGUUAAGUCCCGCAACGAGCGCAACCCUUGUUCACUGUUGCCAGCACGUUAUGGUGGGGACUCAGUGGAGACCGCCGGGGUCAACUCGGAGGAAGGUGGGGAUGACGUCAAGUCAUCAUGCCCCUUAUGUCCAGGGCUUCACGCAUGCUACAAUGGCUGGUACAGAGAGUGGCGAGCCUGUGAGGGUGAGCGAAUCUCGGAAAGCCGGUCUCAGUUCGGAUUGGGGUCUGCAACUCGACCUCAUGAAGUCGGAGUCGCUAGUAAUCGCAGAUCAGCAACGCUGCGGUGAAUACGUUCCCGGG